UUCUGGUUGAUCCUGCCGGAGGCUACCGCUAUUGGAGUUCGAUUAAGCCAUGCGAGUCGAGAGUCUUAGGGACUCGGCGUACCGCUCAGUAACACGUGGGUAACCUGCCCUAUGCUGGGGAAUAACCUCGGGAAACUGAGAAUAAUACCCCAUAGUCCACAAUGCCUGGAACGGUUUGUGGAUUAAAGCCCCGGCGGCAUAGGAUGGGCCUGCGGCGUAUCAGGUUGUAGGGGGUGUAACGUACCCUCUAGCCAUCAACGCGUACGGGUGUUGGGAGACAUAGCCCGGAGAUGGAUUCUGAGACACGAAUCCAGACCCUACGGGGUGCAGCAGGUGCGAAAACUUGGCAAUGCGAGAAAUCGUGACCAGGGAACUCCAAGUGGCUGGGGUAAGACCCAGUCUUUUCUUGACUCUUCAAGGUCUUGGAAUAAGAGGUGGGUAAGGACGGUGCCAGCCGCCGCGGUAAUACCGGCGCCUCAAGUGGUAGUCGAUUUUAUUGGGCCUAAAACGUCCG
This 514-nucleotide ribosomal RNA is filed under the name uncultured Candidatus Poseidoniales archaeon. RNAcentral describes it as "bacterial SSU rRNA". It matches the Rfam family "Archaeal small subunit ribosomal RNA", at positions 1 to 521 of the family's 1478-position model. Lineage: Archaea; Methanobacteriati; Thermoplasmatota; Candidatus Poseidoniia; Candidatus Poseidoniales. The record is from RNAcentral.